GCCCGGGUGGUGAAAUUGGUAGACACAAGGGACUUAAAAUCCCUCGGUAUUAUAUACCGUGCCGGUUCGACUCCGGCCCCGGGCACCA
RNAcentral lists this transfer RNA (88 nucleotides) under Deltaproteobacteria bacterium. Its description in RNAcentral is "tRNA-Leu". It matches the Rfam family "tRNA". From Rfam's summary of the family: Transfer RNA (tRNA) molecules are approximately 80 nucleotides in length. RNAcentral also lists the same sequence under 2 other names. Lineage: Bacteria; Pseudomonadati; Myxococcota; Myxococcia. The record is from RNAcentral.